UCGCACCAAGCAGACGGCCCGCAA
This 24-nucleotide non-coding RNA is filed under the name Cricetulus griseus (Chinese hamster). Lineage: Eukaryota; Metazoa; Chordata; Mammalia; Rodentia; Cricetidae. The record is from RNAcentral.